AACGAACGCUGGCGGCAGGCCUAACACAUGCAAGUCGAGCGCUGUAGCAAUACAGAGCGGCAGACGGGUGAGUAACGCGUGGGAAUCUUCCCAAUGGUACGGAAUAGCUCAGGGAAACUUGGGGUAAUACCGUAUAAGCCCGAAAGGGAAGGAUUUAUCGCCAUUGGAUGAGCCCGCGUCUGAUUAGCUAGUUGGUGAGGUAAUGGCUCACCAAGGCGACGAUCAGUAGCUGGUCUGAGAGGAUGACCAGCCACACUGGGACUGAGACACGGCCCAGACUCCUACGGGAGGCAGCAGUGGGGAAUAUUGGACAAUGGGCGAAAGCCUGAUCCAGCCAUGCCGCGUGAGUGACGAAGGUCUUCGGAUUGUAAAGCUCUUUUGGCGGGGGACGAUAAUGACGGUACCCGCAGAAUAAGCCCCGGCUAACUUCGUGCCAGCAGCCGCGGUAAG
RNAcentral lists this ribosomal RNA (450 nucleotides) under uncultured bacterium. RNAcentral's name for it is "bacterial SSU rRNA". It matches the Rfam family "Bacterial small subunit ribosomal RNA", at positions 29 to 524 of the family's 1533-position model. The record is from RNAcentral.